AACUCGAGCCCCACCCCUUAGCCUCCGAGAAAGCUAUCCAACAUCUCAGCAAGGGCCCCCCUCUUGCACAGGGGCCAGCCAUAGCCAGGAGGUGAGCACGCAGUUAUGCAGAUCCAAACUGAGAUCGCUCCACCUCUGAGCACCUCUCCACCCUGCCAACUUCCGGGACCACUCCUGCACCAGCUUUUUCCCUGGUAGCUCACACAUGGGC
RNAcentral lists this long non-coding RNA (211 nucleotides) under Dunaliella salina. RNAcentral's name for it is "long non-coding RNA (DSAL_LNC000077)". The record is from RNAcentral. Lineage: Eukaryota; Viridiplantae; Chlorophyta; Chlorophyceae; Chlamydomonadales; Dunaliellaceae.